UGGGGUGUAGCUCAGUGGUAGAGCGACGGGCUUUGACCCCGUGCCAGCGCGGGUUCGAGCCCCGCCACCCCAU
RNAcentral lists this transfer RNA (73 nucleotides) under Thermoplasmata archaeon. Its description in RNAcentral is "tRNA-Gln". It matches the Rfam family "tRNA". From Rfam's summary of the family: Transfer RNA (tRNA) molecules are approximately 80 nucleotides in length. Their secondary structure includes four short double-helical elements and three loops (D, anti-codon, and T loops). Further hydrogen bonds mediate the characteristic L-shaped molecular structure. tRNAs have two regions of fundamental functional importance: the anti-codon, which is responsible for specific mRNA codon recognition, and the 3' end, to which the tRNAs corresponding amino acid is attached (by aminoacyl-tRNA synthetases). tRNAs cope with the degeneracy of the genetic code in two manners: having more than one tRNA (with a specific anti-codon) for a particular amino acid; and 'wobble' base-pairing, i.e. permitting non-standard base-pairing at the 3rd anti-codon position. RNAcentral also lists the same sequence under 1 other name. The record is from RNAcentral. Lineage: Archaea; Methanobacteriati; Thermoplasmatota; Thermoplasmata.